Molecule: ribosomal RNA, 301 nt
Filed under: uncultured bacterium
Lineage: Bacteria
Description: partial 16S ribosomal RNA
Rfam family: Bacterial small subunit ribosomal RNA
Source: RNAcentral
CAGUCGCCGCGGUAACACGUAGGGUGCGAGCGUUAAUCGGAAUUAUUGGGCGUAAAGAGCUCGCAGGCGGUUUCUUAAGUCCGAUGUGAAAGCCCCCGGCUCAACCGGGGAGGGUCAUUGGAGACUGGGAAACUUGAGUGCAGAAGAGGAGAGUGGAAUUCCACGUGUAGCGGUGAAAUGCGUAGAGAUGUGGAGGAACACCAGUGGCGAAGGCGACUCUCUGGUCUGUAACUGACGCUGAGGAGCGAAAGCGUGGGGAGCGAACAGGAUUAGAUACCCGUGUAGUCCCUGUCUCUUAUAC